UAGGGCCUACUUCGACUUCGAUCCGAGAGCCGACCCGAACCCAAAUCCGAACCUUGCAUGCUUUGAUGGUUUGCUUGUGCAUACCUUUUCUCGUCUUCGGCUUUCGUCUUCGGUUCGGAUCGGACACCCGAAGAAAACCGGUCACCUGCGCGUUUUUACCUGUUCUGGUGGUUGAGCUGGGCAGAGAAGAGCGGUGGUACGACGAAGCAGCAAACAGCAACCGUGCGCGCGCGUUGCUGGUAUGUUGCGUCUAUGCUUCUUACCUUUCAGUACCGAAGUCGCCAACAUAAACAUAAGACGUGUGCGGGACCUCGCUGCGCGAGUUUUCUCAGUUUUUUGCUUUUUUCUUUUGUUGCUUGGUGGGUGCUGAACAACUGAACUGAACUCCCGUUCCGUCGCGGAAAAGUGGAGGAGGAAAAAAACGCGCGCGCGAGAUUUUUGCCGGUCGCUCCCCUAGAUGUAGGCAAACCGCGUGAUUUGUUGUGAUUUCGCGGGUUACUCGGAUCGAAGGGUGAUUUCAACGAGUGGGUGAUCGACGAGCGGCGAACCUUCGAAAUUGAAGAAGUUCGGUUUGGGAGGAUAAUUGGGAGACGCAGUGCAGUGUGUGUGUAAACAAUAGUGGCGCUAUUGGCGGCGAUGCAUGACAUAAUACGCUUCGUAUGAAGGAACAUCCGGUCAUUUUUCUGCAGCUCAUCACCGCGGAAGACCCCUACUGCUGAAGUGUCUCCACGGCGCUGCGGUCAACUGAAGAAGACCACGAAAAAAAAACAGAAAAUUAACAUAACGCAUGUGAAUGAGUAAUAAAACGCAUAAACGCGUGACAGUGUAGAACGUCGUAAACAGAAGUUAGACAGAAGGCAGAAGAAUUGUUAGAAGGGGAGAAACAAGAAGACAAGUGCACACCGCAAGGGAACAAGUGAAAAGUGUUCAUCAUUUUUGACGGAGGGUUCCGCUGUGCAGUGAAUCGAUUAUAUCUGGGCCCUCAGAUCUGUGCCAGCGAAGAAGAAUCGUUCUGACCGAGCUCGAAGGAAAAAGUGAAUCAACGAAAGUCUUUUGAAAAGUAAAGCAGGUGUUGAAUACAUAAAAUACACACGACGAAACCCCUAGAACGAAGACGAGGGUCAGAUGUGAACCAUUUUUUCUCGCUGUUAGUUUUGUGCACCGUCGUAGCAACCUGCAGAUGUUUGAAGAAACGACAGUUGUCAACAUGACGAAGGAGGCGAAGCCACUGUAUAGCCAGCAGCCUACUCGGAUCAACUCGACGACGUAGGAAGUUCAGAGCAAGCGUCUGAAUUCAGAGUUCUGCUGAACUCAAUUAACGCCUUAGGGGCUUCUCAGCGGUCCCCUAUCCCUUGGACCGCUUACUUAGAGCGACUCAAAACCCACCGAAAUGCACAACGUAGACAAUAUAGGGGCUUUCUUCCAGACCUGCAAGGUCCUCUGGCAUCUGGAUGCCUUCCGCCGUUCGUUCCGCCAGCUCCAGAAUCACGUCUGCGGUGGGCAGGACUGCAUUUUCUGCGCCCUCAAGGUAUGUAGCUCCUCACGUACUUUUCUCCUUAUAGUCUAUCAAACUCCGCAAUGAGAUAAAAAUGAUAAAAUCAAUUUAACCCGACAACCGGAAGAUCAGCACAACAACCGAAUUCGAUGCCGAUGGAUGGAGGACAUUGCUCCUGGUGGGUAACACACCGUGGAAUGGGGUGAUGUUGGUCGAUCACACUCACGUCUUGAUUUCUUCCCAUUUCUACGCUAAACCGCCCAAGCAAUAGUCGCACUCACGCCACUGUUUACUUUUUGUGUAGAACAUCUCACCACAGACAAACACACGUAACACCUUCAACGAUUUUCAUGGAAAUCCAUCGCCCAGUUCACACUACCAUCAACUGGUGGAAAAGUUGCACGAAUCACUGUGUUGUGCAAUAUCGUAAACAGAAGGCGCUAGUGUUAAACGUCAAACGCAUAGAAAAACGAUGCACGCGCCUCUGGUUGUGAAAGCCACAACUAUGAAAGUUUAAAAUGAUCGUUUAAUGCGUGGUCGAUGGAAAUUUCGCAAGUGUCACGUCUGUUUGUCUGUGAUCUAACUCCCGUCUAGGAACUUUCUAAAUCUAGCCGUGCUUGCGCCUUAGUUUGCUUAUCGCGUCAAACUCCUCACUCCCGGCUAUGAAUCUUCCAAAACUGGCUGCGCUUACGCCACUGUUCACUUCUCACGUCGAACAACUUACUUCCCAAAUCUAACGGCGCUCACGCUACUGUCUACUUUCGAACAACUCGCUAUCGGCAAAAAAUAUUCCGAAUCUAGUCACGCCCACGCCAAUGUUAAUAUUUCGAAUAAAAAAUACAGUAGAAAAACCGAACAUUGUACUAUUUAGUAUUCCGUUCCAUAUUUUUACAAUAAAUACCACUGUAAAAAAUAAAAUAGAAAAACAAUAAGAUGUAACGUGGUCAACCAUACAGUGAAUUGUAAAUGAGGUUUUUACAAUGAAAUGUAUAGGUUGUUAAGUGUCGUAACAAAACAAAACAAAAACCAUACAUUGUAUAGUAAAUAUACUGUUUUAAAUUCUAAUGGGUGGGUUCAAAUAUACCGUAUAUUGUAUGUUUUAAUACAAUAAAAUGUACAGUAAACAUAUUAUUUCUAAUAGUAAUUUCACUACUGGCUAUACAUUGAAUUAGGUGGUUUUGGAAUUGAUCUUCUUUAUUAUGUUGUAUUGUUUUACAUUACCUAAACCAUACAAUAUUAUGUUAUCUUGUCAUUUUGCUCCUGGUUAUGGCAUAUUAGGCGUUCUAUCGAAACGAGCCAGAAAAUAAAGUUCAAUAGAACUCUCGGUGAUAGCACGGACUAGAAGCAAUCAAGUUCAAUAUUAUUCAACGCGCUUUGGCAAUUUUCAGAGAAUCGCCCACGUCUAAGUCUGGGUAGUCUCUGAUUGCAUUAAGUAUAACAUCCCUUGCUCAACAAGCGAGAUAACUGGGUUUUGCAAACUAAGCAUAAUUUGUGGCAACACUUUGAGCGACAUGAUGGAACUAUGCCGAGCGCGCUAAAUGUUAUUAGACCACUAAUGUAGUUGCAUGAAUUGAGUGGCGAUUUACAUACGCGACAUUACAUCUUGCUUAACUGUUAUUUCAACAUUUGAGGUUCCCGUUUGUCUAUAGCUUGGAUUACAUAACAAACUUUUACAUCGAAUUGAAACAUUAGCUAUGUGCUCCAGACUUAGAAGUCGUUUCAGUGUCUACACACCUAGAAAAUAUCAUGUAAUUUUAAGUGUCCUGAACCUGACAUAUACGAGCAUCUUCAAAAACACAAUUUUAGAGGUUAUAACAUGUAAAUUUACGUUUUUCAAGACACCCCAAAAUAAAACUUAUUUUUUCUUAGCGUCUAGCAAUCGCUAGAACCGAUUUGACAGAUAAAACAUAGAAAAGUAAAAUAUUGUCAUGUAUGGGAUUCGAACUCCGGAUCUGCUGAUCGUAAGCCACAUCUCUAACCUCUCGGCUAUUUCACCGAGUUGGAAGGUGGCUGAUGAACGUGAUACUGAUUCUACGUUUCUGGUGAAACGGAUUUGUUAACCAACCAGCACUUACAUGAUGCGCGUAAAAUUGAGUCCAAUUUGUGAUUCAGUCUUGAAAACAUUUACGUUUUUUGGUGAUUCCGUUUCGUGGAAAUUUCAUAAUUUCUAAGUGUGUAGUCCUCGGACCAGGGCACAUGCUAAAGAUGGCUCUAUGUCAAACAUAAAUUUCAUAAUUCGCAUUUUAUUCAGUUGUGAUCAAAAACAAGUGAGAGAAGGUAAGAAAACUCCCCUAAAUGCCAACACAAAAAGGUUCGUGACAUUCGCAUUCCUCUCAUCGCACUCUUCCUACCAUGCCCAUGUUUAGUCUUUUACUGUCAGAUCAGUGUAGCACGCUAAAUAUAUUUUACACAAAAGGCAAUUUACACGGAAAAAAUACACUGUAAUAUUAUUAGGUACCAGACUGAAUACACAAAAUUCAAUGGUUUUCUUUGGUACAUCGAGGUUUUGAAAUAAGUCUAUGAUGUCACUGUUAUCCUUAAUGCCACCUCCAUGUUAAUAAUGUGUUUCAUAGAAUUUGAAACUGAAAAUCAAAAGCUUUUUGAACAGUAGUACAGUACAACAGUAGAACAGUGUCGCUCGAGCUGUCGUUUCUUAAAAUCUGGCAUUUUUUUAGUUUUGUUCAAUUAAGAACAGGAAUAGGACAAAAAAAGAUAAAAAUCACUUCCAUUUAUUCAAAUUGAACCCUCGCACCAUGAGAAAGCCAAAAAUCGACACUAACACAUGGAAAUACGAUUUAUGUAAUUACACGGAGACAAAUUUCGUUCGUUUGAAACAAAAAUAUUCAUGUUUAUUCGGUAAACUGAUAAAAUUUUUAAAACUAAAAUAUUAAUUUUUGAAACUAACUCAAUUACAUAUUGAUUUCUACAUUACCCAUUGAGCCCCCCGUUCCGCCGUCAAGAACAUAAACAAAGCUCUCAAGUUCCAGCUGCAGCACCAAACAAGAUUUCCUCCUGCAAAAAAGUUAAGUAUCUCCAGAUGUUUCCACGAAAUCCCAUUGAUUUCGGGAGCGUAUGUUAUCUACAUGAUUUUGGCAUUGAAAGUGCCACGUGAGAAGCGGGUUUUCCUAGAGAAAGAAAUGACUUUGUAGAUUUAAUUGGAAAACAAAUAUUUCCGUAGGGCUGACCUCCCGAAUAAAAAAUACAGUAGAAAAACCGAAUGUUGUAUUGUAACAGUACUAUUUAGAACCAUAUUGUUACAAUAAACACCACUGUAAAAAUAAAACAUACAAUAACAAUAAGAUGUAAUGUUAGACACCAUACAGUGAAUUGUAAAUGAGAUUUUUACAAUAUACUAUACGGGUUGUUAAGUAUCGUAACAAUAUAAAAAAAUAUUUUUCUCCAUAUAUAUUUUUUUACAAAACCAUACAUUUUAUUGUAAAUGAAUUGUUCGAAAUACUGAUACGUGGGCUUUAAUAUACCGUACAUUGUAUGGUACACGUAUGGUUUCAAACAAUAAAAUGUACCGUAAAUAUAUUGUUUUAAAUUGUAAUUUCACUACUGGUUAUAAAUUUAAUCAUGGUUUUGGAAUGGUUCUCUUUUGUUAUGUUGUAUUGUUUUACAUUAGAUAAACCAUAUAAUGUUAUAUUAUCUCGUCAUGUUCCUUCGAUAAUGGCAGUUCUAGCCAAACUAACCUAAACUCGUCUAAGUCUGAGUAGCCUCUGAUUGCAUUAACAGUUGAAGCUUAAGCUCCCAUGUCCCACCAGCCAGAUAACCGGGUUUUGCAAACUAAGCAUUAUUUGUGGCAACACUUUGAGCGGCAUGAUGGAACUAUGCCUAGCGCGCUAAGUGUUAUUAGACCACUAAUGUAGUUGCAUGAAGUGGGUGACGAGGUACAUGAGUAUCAUUACAGCGUGCUUAACCAUUAUUGCAAUAUUGAGGCUCCAAUUUGACUGAACUGUGAAAUGUGUACAUAACAACUCAUGAGAAAACUGUCAAGUUCGAUUCAACUAUACGUUAGGUUAAAAAGCGAAGACGAACUUAUUUCAGAAGUCGUUUCAGUGUCCAGUCCAGUCCUUAUGUUAAAAAUGUCAAAGAUAAAUCGCAUUUAAUUCGGUUGUUGUACAAGGCAAUUUCACAUGAGAGAAGAGAAAGAAUAGUGUUGAACUCAUCCAUUGAUUUACGGUAAUCUGGCCUGCGUCUUUCCGGGUUGACCUACAUUCGUAUUCCUCUCAUCGCACUCUACAUACCUAGCCCACCAUAUCUCUUGGAUAUGCAGUCCUUAGGACACCUGGUUUACCACUUUAUUUAAACAUUUUAUUGACUUUAAAUAGAUGUUUCAACUUAUUCACUUUUUUCUCUUUCAUUUCCUUUGCAACAAAAAUGUCGCGGACAUCAACAAAACAAAGCACGGAAAAAAUCAUAAACUGAAUAAAAUAUUAAAAAUACACGGAAAAAAAUUGUUUCGGAAUAGUGAAUGGUUCAAACGUAAGAAAAACAGUAUAAUAUAUUGUGCAAAGCUUUUAGCGAACCAUUCCAUUACUAUACACUAUAUUGUAGCUGGUACACUGUAUAGUACAGGAAUGGUUUUCACCAAAUACCCUAUGGUUAGUUUUUAUCCGGGCUGCCACAAAAAAAACUAAACAUUUUUACAUUACAAGAAAUAAUAAUCUUAUCAUUCAAUGCUAUAGAUGGAAACAUUUCAAUUUCUACAAAUAUCAUAACACUAACAUAUAAUAACGAUACCUGAAAUGGUACAGUGAUAGUUUUAAAGCUUACAAUUGUAUCGGAUUUGUAAUCAAAACUUCUUAGUAUUUGUAUUCCAAACUUAAUUUAAGGUGUGUAAUUGCAACACAAAGUGAGUUCUGUUGGUGGCACGACUGGUGCUGUUGUUUGUAGUCAUUUUUCGGCACUACUGUGAAAGCAGUCCUUGUUGGAACCUUCUUCAGGGCUCGAUCUGAAUCAACAAAUCGCAAAUGUUUUCUUCAAACAUAGAACGUCGGGUGCGAAAGAGUAAAAGUUGUUCCACUUUGGUAUCGACUCAUUAGGCAUUAGUUUAGGCCUAUUUCUCCAGCCAAGACUCCCUGUGUGGAUUUGUAUUUAUCUACCAUCGAGCGCCUUACCAGAAUUCCAGCGAAGCAAAAAAGUGAACGUUAGAACAUUUUGAUAACCAAUUAGUCUUGUAGAGGUUUUGAGAACCAUUAUUAAACCUUAUCUCUUAUAUUGGUUUUAUGAUGGAUUUUAAAACCUCUUCUAGCCUAUUUGACUUGGAAAUGUUACUUGGGAAGUCAAAAACCAGAACAAAUGAAGAGUAAACAAAGAUACACAUUAUGAUUUGCAAAGGUUAACAGAUCUCAAAAAAUAAUCCGCAACGGUGUGUACUUUCUAACAUUAAUAAGACAGGUGACAGUGAAAUAUUUCUGCCCUGUUUUAACCAUUCACUGAAUCAUUUAGCUAACGAUAGAAUGACCAUAACAAGUUUUGUUUGUGAAAAAAGCGUUUUUAAAUGGUAACGGUAUCUAACAGCCCAUUUGAUCCUCAUAAAUGUUCAAAACCAUACCUCAUAUCAUUAAUAUCACUUAUGCAAUUCAGUAUCAUAAUUUCUAUUUUAUAUAACUCAUUUUUGUAUAAAAAUGGCCAGUUUUUCAGAACUGGUUCAUUAUGCAACUGAAAUUAGUUGCAUAUUGUUCACAAUGGAACUCAUUGAGGCUGCGCGAGAAGUACAGGAAGCAAUCUUUAAAUUCACGUGAGUUGAUUCCAAACUCGACUAAACAAUUUAAACAAAAACAACCUGAAAGUAAAGUCGACAAUGAUUCCCAUAGUUGUACAGAUAUUUGACUGUGGCUCGAAAACGCCCAUUAUAAUUUUAUUAUUCGCAGUAUCAUAAUAUUGACGAUAAAGUAACUAUAACAUGUACAAUUCCGCAAAAUGUUUUAAAGGGUAACAAUACUCAGCAACCCAUUUGGUCUUUCAUCAAACUUUCCAAAAUGAUAACUGGUAUCAUCAAUAUAAUUUAUCGUAUCAUCCAUUUUUGAUCCAGUAUCCAGAUAACAUGUAUGGUAUAAAAAUGUUUCACUAAUAUAUUG
This is an RNA transcript of Aedes albopictus (Asian tiger mosquito), 7578 nucleotides long. RefSeq lists it as uncharacterized. The transcript has 2 exons. The record is from RefSeq and is a predicted model, not a curated record. Lineage: Eukaryota; Metazoa; Arthropoda; Insecta; Diptera; Culicidae.